Molecule: transfer RNA, 84 nt
Filed under: Mycoplasma sp. 'Moose RK'
Lineage: Bacteria; Bacillati; Mycoplasmatota; Mollicutes; Mycoplasmatales; Mycoplasmataceae
Description: tRNA-Leu
Rfam family: tRNA
About the family: Transfer RNA (tRNA) molecules are approximately 80 nucleotides in length. Their secondary structure includes four short double-helical elements and three loops (D, anti-codon, and T loops). Further hydrogen bonds mediate the characteristic L-shaped molecular structure. tRNAs have two regions of fundamental functional importance: the anti-codon, which is responsible for specific mRNA codon recognition, and the 3' end, to which the tRNAs corresponding amino acid is attached (by aminoacyl-tRNA synthetases). tRNAs cope with the degeneracy of the genetic code in two manners: having more than one tRNA (with a specific anti-codon) for a particular amino acid; and 'wobble' base-pairing, i.e. permitting non-standard base-pairing at the 3rd anti-codon position.
Source: RNAcentral
GCUCUUGUGGUGAAAUGGUAUACACGUUAGAUUGAGGUUCUAAUCCGGAAACGGGUGCAAGUUCGAGUCUUGUCAAGAGCACCA